GAAAGAUUUUUCGGUCUGGGAUGGGCUCGCGGCCUAUCAGCUUGUUGGUGAGGUAAUGGCUCACCAAGGCGUCGACGGGUAGCCGGCCUGAGAGGGUGACCGGCCACACUGGGACUGAGACACGGCCCAGACUCCUACGGGAGGCAGCAGUGGGGAAUAUUGCACAAUGGGCGGAAGCCUGAUGCAGCAACGCCGCGUGAGGGAUGACGGCCUUCGGGUUGUAAACCUCUUUUAGCAGGGAAGAAGCGAAAGUGACGGUACCUGCAGAAAAAGCGCCGGCUAACUACGUGCCAGCAGCCGCGGUAAUACGUAGGGCGCAAGCGUUAUCCGGAAUUAUUGGGCGUAAAGAGCUCGUAGGCGGUUUGUCGCGUCUGCUGUGAAAUCCCGAGGCUCAACCUCGGGCCUGCAGUGGGUACGGGCAGACUAGAGUGCGGUAGGGGAGAUUGGAAUUCCUGGUGUAGCGGUGGAAUGCGCAGAUAUCAGGAGGAACACCGAUGGCGAAGGCAGAUCUCUGGGCCGUAACUGACGCUGAGGAGCGAAAGGGUGGGGAGCAAACAGGCUUAGAUACCCUGGUAGUCCACCCCGUAAACGUUGGGAACUAGUUGUGGGGUCCUUUCCACGGAUUCCGUGACGCAGCUAACGCAUUAAGUUCCCCGCCUGGGGAGUACGGCCGCAAGGCUAAAACUCAAAGGAAUUGACGGGGACCCGCACAAGCGGCGGAGCAUGCGGAUUAAUUCGAUGCAACGCGAAGAACCUUACCAAGGCUUGACAUACACGAGAACGGGCCAGAAAUGGUCAACUCUUUGGACACUCGUGAACAGGUGGUGCAUGGUUGUCGUCAGCUCGUGUCGUGAGAUGUUGGGUUAAGUCCCGCAACGAGCGCAACCCUCGUUCUAUGUUGCCAGCACGUUAUGGUGGGAACUCAUGGGAUACUGCCGGGGUCAACUCGGAGGAAGGUGGGGAUGACGUCAAAUCAUCAUGCCCCUUAUGUCUUGGGCUUCACGCAUGCUACAAUGGCCGGUACAAAGGGCUGCAAUACCGUGAGGUGGAGCGAAUCCCAAAAAGCCGGUCCCAGUUCGGAUUGAGGUCUGCAACUCGACCUCAUGAAGUCGGAGUCG
Molecule: ribosomal RNA, 1118 nt
Filed under: Microbacterium sp. TG7
Lineage: Bacteria; Bacillati; Actinomycetota; Actinomycetes; Micrococcales; Microbacteriaceae
Description: bacterial SSU rRNA
Rfam family: Bacterial small subunit ribosomal RNA
Source: RNAcentral